This 112-nucleotide ribosomal RNA is filed under the name Cronobacter sakazakii. The record is from RNAcentral. RNAcentral also lists the same sequence under 1 other name. Lineage: Bacteria; Pseudomonadati; Pseudomonadota; Gammaproteobacteria; Enterobacterales; Enterobacteriaceae.
GCGGCUGUAGCGCGGUGGUCCCACCUGACCCCAUGCCGAACUCAGAAGUGAAACGCCGUAGCGCCGAUGGUAGUGUGGGGCCUCCCCAUGCGAGAGUAGGGAACUGCCAGGC